Molecule: long non-coding RNA, 287 nt
Filed under: Nicotiana benthamiana
Lineage: Eukaryota; Viridiplantae; Streptophyta; Magnoliopsida; Solanales; Solanaceae
Description: long non-coding RNA (NBEN_LNC012415)
Source: RNAcentral
UGGAAUGGUCUGGUCUCUGAACGAAUCUGGACCAUGGCUAAGCCUUUCAGAGCUCGAACACACCAGAAUGAGGCCGGAGAAGCCAAAGGAGCUCAGGUCGACGGAGGACUUGAAUAGGUCUAUUGAAAGUUGGGCCUUGAAAGCUCGAAUAAUCAAGGUUUGGGGUGAAAGGAGAGAGAGUAUAGGCUAUCUGAGAAGCCAUGGACGCCGGUGGAUUAUUGAUCGGAGACGAAGGUAGGCGGCUAGAGUUUAGAGAGAGUUUGAGAGAAAAGAGGAUUUGAGGGCAG